This is a long non-coding RNA of Bos taurus (domestic cattle), 1497 nucleotides long. Lineage: Eukaryota; Metazoa; Chordata; Mammalia; Artiodactyla; Bovidae. The record is from Ensembl.
GCCACCCUUACUCAUUACAGAACAUUCUCUCUUCUUAUCUUGCCUUUUUUUAGCCUGAAGGACAAAGACGGAGAGAGGAGUCUUGAUUUUCCUUGUUAGUCUGCUCCAGCUGGCAGCCUUGCCAAUCUCUAAUAUCAGUUGUGAUGUGACAGUUAUUUUUUUUUUAACUCUAGCAUCUCAUUUUAUGCAAUUUUAUGGGUAACAGGAUGGGAAUUCAGCUUAGAAAACUUUUGACAAACAAUCAUUCAACAAUAAAAAUGAGGACAAAAAGGAUGACUAUGACAAGCAAAAUAAAACAGCCCCUGCUAUGCCAAGAAUGUACACUAAUCAUGUGUCCAAGGGACACGCUUCUUAUCUGUUUAAUAAUGACCUGGAACCUCCUUCUCAUCACAUCUCUCUUGGGCUCUGUAGUCGCCCAAAGCUGACUCAUGUCUGAAUUUAGAACAGUGGACACCCAGAGCCUCAGACUCUGAGCUUCAGAAGGGACCUCAGUGUGCAUUCUGGUUGAUUGGGUCCACCGCGUCCCCCACACAUGUUGGGAGUUAGAGAAACAAGAAUGAAGAGGGUUAUGGGUUGAACUGCAUCCCCUGAAAAGAUGUGUCAAAGCCUUAAUCCCCAGCACUUGUGGACGCACCCUUAUUUGGAAAUAGGGUCUCUGCAGAUGUAAUCAAGUUUCAGAUGAGGUCAUUAGGGUGGCCCCAAUCCAAUACAACUGCUGUCCUUCCCAGAGGAGGAGGGAUCCUGGGACAGACACAGGAGAGGAGAACACCAUGUAACAGAUGGAGGCAGAACUCGAAGGGCUGCAGCUGUGAGCUUAGAGAGCCAAGGACUGCUGGCAACCCAUCCAAAUCCAGCAAGAGGCAAGGAAAGAUGCUCCCCUCCAGGUUUCAGAAGGAGCCUGACCGUGCCAAUACCUUGAUUUCAGACUUCAGCCUCCAAAAUGGUGAGAUGAGUGAGACAUCUCUGUUGUUUCAAGCCACGUGGUUUGUGACGCUUGUUUCAGCAGCCCUAGCAAAUGGAUACUUGGAGAAGGAAAUGGCAACCCACUCCAGUGUUCUUGCCUGGAGAAUCCCAGGGACGGGGAAGCCUGGUGGGCUGCCGUCUCUGGGGUCGCACAGAGUCAGACACGACUGAAUCGACUUAGCAGCAGACUUAGCAGCAGGAAAUGGAUACAGAGAGUUAGGCAAACUGCCCAUGAUCCCAGGGUGAGGCCAUGCACUUUCCACGGCAUCUCAGGGAGAACCUCGAGGCAGUCAGUAACUACUGUGGCUGCAGAUGCUGGGUUCACUGGUGAUGGUGGGGCCCGUCUGGUCUCCCCACUGGAAAGAUGCUUUAGUUUCAAGGAAGCUGAAUCAACCAGCGCACAUGGUCACUUGAAUCAGGACACUCCAGACACAGAGACGGGAGACAGUGCAGAGCCAAGGACAGAAGGGCCAGGAGAGAGGCUCUCCUCUCGGGAGGAAGUGACAAUAAUAAAAAUUUAAAUAUAAGAAGAAU